RNAcentral lists this ribosomal RNA (2861 nucleotides) under Salmonella enterica subsp. enterica serovar Muenchen. RNAcentral's name for it is "bacterial LSU rRNA". It matches the Rfam family "Bacterial large subunit ribosomal RNA". Lineage: Bacteria; Pseudomonadati; Pseudomonadota; Gammaproteobacteria; Enterobacterales; Enterobacteriaceae. The record is from RNAcentral.
AGCGUACACGGUGGAUGCCCUGGCAGUCAGAGGCGAUGAAGGACGUGCUAAUCUGCGAUAAGCGCCGGUAAGGUGAUAUGAACCGUUAUAACCGGCGAUUUCCGAAUGGGGAAACCCAGUGUGACUCGUCACACUAUCAUUAACUGAAUCCAUAGGUUAAUGAGGCGAACCGGGGGAACUGAAACAUCUAAGUACCCCGAGGAAAAGAAAUCAACCGAGAUUCCCCCAGUAGCGGCGAGCGAACGGGGAGGAGCCCAGAGCCUGAAUCAGCAUGUGUGUUAGUGGAAGCGUCUGGAAAGGCGCGCGAUACAGGGUGACAGCCCCGUACACAAAAGCGCAUGUGCUGUGAGCUCGAUGAGUAGGGCGGGACACGUGGUAUCCUGUCUGAAUAUGGGGGGACCAUCCUCCAAGGCUAAAUACUCCUGACUGACCGAUAGUGAACCAGUACCGUGAGGGAAAGGCGAAAAGAACCCCGGCGAGGGGAGUGAAAAAGAACCUGAAACCGUGUACGUACAAGCAGUGGGAGCACAGGUUUACCUGUGUGACUGCGUACCUUUUGUAUAAUGGGUCAGCGACUUAUAUUCUGUAGCAAGGUUAACCGUAUAGGGGAGCCGUAGGGAAACCGAGUCUUAACCGGGCGUUAAGUUGCAGGGUAUAGACCCGAAACCCGGUGAUCUAGCCAUGGGCAGGUUGAAGGUUGGGUAACACUAACUGGAGGACCGAACCGACUAAUGUUGAAAAAUUAGCGGAUGACCUGUGGCUGGGGGUGAAAGGCCAAUCAAACCGGGAGAUAGCUGGUUCUCCCCGAAAGCUAUUUAGGUAGCGCCUCGUGAAUUCAUCUCCGGGGGUAGAGCACUGUUUCGGCUAGGGGGCCAUCCCGGCUUACCAACCCGAUGCAAACUGCGAAUACCGGAGAAUGUUAUCACGGGAGACACACGGCGGGUGCUAACGUCCGUCGUGAAGAGGGAAACAACCCAGACCGCCAGCUAAGGUCCCAAAGUCAUGGUUAAGUGGGAAACGAUGUGGGAAGGCCCAGACAGCCAGGAUGUUGGCUUAGAAGCAGCCAUCAUUUAAAGAAAGCGUAAUAGCUCACUGGUCGAGUCGGCCUGCGCGGAAGAUGUAACGGGGCUAAACCAUGCACCGAAGCUGCGGCAGCGAACGUAUCACCCAAGACAACUUUACGGAGUUGACGAUUGACGGAGCGAAGCGACGUCAAAGCGUUCAUUAAAGUCGAGUUGGCUUAGGGAUACGUUCGUUGGGUAGGGGAGCGUUCUGUAAGCCUGUGAAGGUGGCCUGUGAGGGUUGCUGGAGGUAUCAGAAGUGCGAAUGCUGACAUAAGUAACGAUAAAGCGGGUGAAAAGCCCGCUCGCCGGAAGACCAAGGGUUCCUGUCCAACGUUAAUCGGGGCAGGGUGAGUCGACCCCUAAGGCGAGGCCGAAAGGCGUAGUCGAUGGGAAACGGGUUAAUAUUCCCGUACUUGGUGUUACUGCGAAGGGGGGACGGAGAAGGCUAUGUUGGCCGGGCGACGGUUGUCCCGGUUUAAGCGUGUAGGUGUGUGUUCCAGGUAAAUCCGGUUCACUUUAACACUGAGGCGUGAUGACGAGGCACUACGGUGCUGAAGCAACAAAUGCCCUGCUUCCAGGAAAAGCCUCUAAGCAUCAGGUAACAUCAAAUCGUACCCCAAACCGACACAGGUGGUCAGGUAGAGAAUACCAAGGCGCUUGAGAGAACUCGGGUGAAGGAACUAGGCAAAAUGGUGCCGUAACUUCGGGAGAAGGCACGCUGACACGUAGGUGAAGUGAUUUACUCAUGGAGCUGAAGUCAGUCGAAGAUACCAGCUGGCUGCAACUGUUUAUUAAAAACACAGCACUGUGCAAACACGAAAGUGGACGUAUACGGUGUGACGCCUGCCCGGUGCCGGAAGGUUAAUUGAUGGGGUCAGCGCAAGCGAAGCUCCUGAUCGAAGCCCCGGUAAACGGCGGCCGUAACUAUAACGGUCCUAAGGUAGCGAAAUUCCUUGUCGGGUAAGUUCCGACCUGCACGAAUGGCGUAAUGAUGGCCAGGCUGUCUCCACCCGAGACUCAGUGAAAUUGAACUCGCUGUGAAGAUGCAGUGUACCCGCGGCAAGACGGAAAGACCCCGUGAACCUUUACUAUAGCUUGACACUGAACAUUGAGCCUUGAUGUGUAGGAUAGGUGGGAGGCUUUGAAGCGUGGACGCCAGUCUGCGUGGAGCCGACCUUGAAAUACCACCCUUUAAUGUUUGAUGUUCUAACGUGGACCCGUAAUCCGGGUUGCGGACAGUGUCUGGUGGGUAGUUUGACUGGGGCGGUCUCCUCCUAAAGAGUAACGGAGGAGCACGAAGGUUGGCUAAUCCUGGUCGGACAUCAGGAGGUUAGUGCAAUGGCAUAAGCCAGCUUGACUGCGAGCGUGACGGCGCGAGCAGGUGCGAAAGCAGGUCAUAGUGAUCCGGUGGUUCUGAAUGGAAGGGCCAUCGCUCAACGGAUAAAAGGUACUCCGGGGAUAACAGGCUGAUACCGCCCAAGAGUUCAUAUCGACGGCGGUGUUUGGCACCUCGAUGUCGGCUCAUCACAUCCUGGGGCUGAAGUAGGUCCCAAGGGUAUGGCUGUUCGCCAUUUAAAGUGGUACGCGAGCUGGGUUUAGAACGUCGUGAGACAGUUCGGUCCCUAUCUGCCGUGGGCGCUGGAGAACUGAGGGGGGCUGCUCCUAGUACGAGAGGACCGGAGUGGACGCAUCACUGGUGUUCGGGUUGUCAUGCCAAUGGCACUGCCCGGUAGCUAAAUGCGGAAGAGAUAAGUGCUGAAAGCAUCUAAGCACGAAACUUGCCCCGAGAUGAGUUCU